AUCCAGGAAGAUGAAUGGAAAGGGAUUUGGAUGGAUUGUCUGAUGUUCUAUUUCCAACUUAUCGAAUUAACGUCUAGCUGAGCCCAAUUUCCCCAAUCGUCUAUAAAGAACUUUUAUUCUGAAACAUAUUCCUCUUGAACGUAAUCGGUAAUAUUCAUUCCUCAAGAUUAAAUGGAAACUGGCAUACAUAUAUAAUCAAAGAAUUGGGAAGCCCAUCAAUGCCUACACCAAAGACGUAAAAUAUUUCUUAAAACCAUUUGAAGAUAAAAGCAUCUUGAAGUCAGUUAUCGUGAAAUAAAAAAAUCUGAAUUAUCAAAGUUAAUUUGAUUUGAAGUACGGUGCCACAAAUCAUUGUAAGUUCAAAUAUGAGAAAAAAGUUAGCUCAACGAGAACCUAAAAACAAGAUGUAUUCGGAUCCUCCAGUCAUGUGUUUUUUGUUGACGUGAUCACUAUUGUUUUGCUUUAGUUGUUUUCUUUUUCCAGUUUCAAAUAUUCGGACAGUGUGUUCUUAUUUUUGGGGUUUUCUUUGUGUUUUACUUUUAUGGUUUUAUUUUUUGGAUGGAUUUCGGCUUAUCUAAUGUGCAGUGCUUUGAUCGUGUUUGUUGGUUAAAUGAUAUGCUUGAAUUAUGAAUCAAAAUAAAGUGAAUCACCAAUAAAAUUAUCCAACUUUUUGGUCGCAUUAAUAAAUGUUAAUAAAGUUUUAUGCUUUACACAGCUCUGCAACAGUUUUGCACAUAAAUAGCCACCGGAAUCCAUUAUUCCAGCAAUCUAAAUGAUUUCACAUUAGCUUUGAGGCCAAUCUUUGAGUGUUCCUUUGUAAUUUCAUCAAUUAAAACACUGAAAGCUCAAGUUGCAGAUAAGUGUAAUUCCUUUGCUUGAUUGUUGAAAUGCUAUCCGAUAUUCAUUUAGUGUUUUUAUUGUUGUAGACUUUGACAAGGUUGAGGUCUUUUUCAAGUCACAUGACAAUGAAAUUGGUGAUAAGUGUUGAUACUUUCCCGGCGGGAUUCAGUUAGUUCAAUUAUUUAGCCGGGUUAGUUUAUCUUCCUCUUCUUUUUUUCCUCCAUUUUUUUGUGUUUGUAUGUGCCUUGACAGAAUUACUGAUGGGAAAGAUGUGCUCGAUAAGUUGUAAGGAACUUGAGAAGUUGGAAUGAGAGCUUCACGCCAUAGUAAUUAACCUUUGGUAUGGCGAACUACUCUUUUGUCAAUCGCGGAUUUCCUAAUUAUGUGCAGGAGGAUGUAAUUCCUUUGUUAUUUAUUUUUCUUCAUUUUAUAAUUUUUUUGGGGAUAUCACUAAUUUAGGUGGAAGAAACACUUUGCUGACAGUUUUCACUCGCAGGAUUGGGUUGAAAGGAGUGGGUUGUUGUUUCUCGGUGAUAUAUACGACUAAUGUUACUGCGUAUACAUAGACAUUACUUUUUUCUUUAAAAAAGAACGUAACUAUUUCGGAAGGCGAAUUGAACUUAUAUAGUUUUAGAUUUAACAUUCGUGUUUUGGAUUUCUUGGUGUCUCGUGCACAUUUUAGGGUUAGAUGAAUUUGGAAUUCUAGAGUUUUGAUCCAUGUUGUUUUAUUUUUCCUAUCAGAUAAUGUUCAAGUCAUAUGACAGGAAAAGUCUCUUGCACCUUUUUCGUGUUAUAUCAAACCUAAUCUUGGUGAUGUUGUUCAUAAAUGGUGCCAUUUCAAUAACCUGAAAGCUGAAGUGGAGCGAAUAUUAAAGAGUUUUGCAUCUAACUUCCUAAGUAAGUUUCGUUAACUAUAUUUUUGCAGUAUGCCAAAUGAUAUUACUAGGUUUUACCACAUCACUCUGUGGCAGAUAAAAUUUCUGUGAGAUAAAAAAAACAACGGAGACCCAGCAGUGAGUGAUAAAUUUAGCAUCUCAGGAAACAUGAUUUUGUGAAUCUUCUGAAUGACUUAACGUUUGCAGAGCAUCUAACUGGGGUCCAUUCAUAAUGAAUCCAUAACUGAGUACUUCUUCCAAAAUCUCUCCGUAGACUGCAAAUUAAGAACUUCUCUAAAGGUUAUUGAAAUUUAGUCGAUGAACAUGUACUACAUUAAUUUAUGUACGAAGCAAUAGCAUGUAUAUUAAGAAGCCUCUCUUUGUGAAUUUUAGUGGAGGGAUGUAAGAUCACAUGUUGUGAUACACUCACCAUGUCACUGUUAUGCACUGUAAGUAUAAUAAAUACUCCCAGUUCUAAAUUAGCAAAAAUAGGUACACAACCAAUUGGGCCCUUUCUUAUGAAUUCAGGAAGACAGGAAGCACACAGUUGAGGAUGCAUUACUAACUAUUUUCAGGGUCGAGAUUGGUUAUCAGCUUCAAUAUGAAUAAAAUUGUGUAAACAUACAGUGUAGCAAGGAUGAAUUACCCACAGUCCACUAUGAGUCGUCUCAAUGUCAAGAAUUUAUGCAGGAUGGCGAACAUUAAAGCCAUGAUGUUAUCAGGCUAGCACAAAGAAAAGGAAGCUCUGCAUUUGGAUAAAACCUAAAUCUGAGGCAUUGAAUGAGAUCAUCUAUUAUUGUCGUAGUUUGUUUUGUUGUUUUUUAGUCCAACUGUUUAGGUUAUUUGAAGCUGUGUCUGAUGAUUUGUA
This is a long non-coding RNA of Papaver somniferum (opium poppy), 2583 nucleotides long. RefSeq lists it as uncharacterized. NCBI's taxonomy places the organism in Eukaryota, Viridiplantae, Streptophyta, Magnoliopsida, Ranunculales, Papaveraceae. The transcript is spliced from 3 exons. The record is from RefSeq and is a predicted model, not a curated record.